This 254-nucleotide ribosomal RNA is filed under the name uncultured bacterium. RNAcentral's name for it is "partial 16S ribosomal RNA". It matches the Rfam family "Bacterial small subunit ribosomal RNA", at positions 524 to 776 of the family's 1533-position model. The record is from RNAcentral.
UACGUAGGGAGCGAGCGUUAAUCGGAAUUACUGGGCGUAAAGCGUGCGUAGGCGGUUGCACAAGCUUGAUGUGAAAGCCCCGGGCUCAACCUGGGAAUGGCAUUGAGGACUGCGUGGCUUGAGUGCGGCAGAGGGAGGUGGAAUUCCAGGUGUAGCAGUGAAAUGCGUAGAGAUCUGGAGGAACACCGAUGGCGAAGGCAGCCUCCUGGGCCGACACUGACGCUGAGGGCACGAAAGCGUGGGGAGCAAACAGG